GCGAACGCUGGCGGCGUGCCUAAUACAUGCAAGUAGCACGCUGAAGAGAGGAGCUUGCUCUUCUUGGAUGAGUUGCGAACGGGUGAGUAACGCGUAGGUAACCUGCCUGGUAGCGGGGGAUAACUAUUGGAAACGAUAGCUAAUACCGCAUAAAAUGGAUUAUCGCAUGAUAAUCCAUUGAAAGGUGCAAAUGCAUCACUACCAGAUGGACCUGCGUUGUAUUAGCUAGUUGGUGGGGUAACGGCUCACCAAGGCGACGAUACAUAGCCGACCUGAGAGGGUGAUCGGCCACACUGGGACUGAGACACGGCCCAGACUCCUACGGGAGGCAGCAGUAGGGAAUCUUCGGCAAUGGACGGAAGUCUGACCGAGCAACGCCGCGUGAGUGAAGAAGGUUUUCGGAUCGUAAAGCUCUGUUGUAAGAGAAGAACGAGUGUGAGAGUGGAAAGUUCACACUGUGACGGUAGCUUACCAGAAAGGGACGGCUAACUACGUG
Molecule: ribosomal RNA, 496 nt
Filed under: uncultured bacterium
Lineage: Bacteria
Description: partial 16S ribosomal RNA
Rfam family: Bacterial small subunit ribosomal RNA
Source: RNAcentral